GACAGAGGCCCCGAGCGUUAGGCGGAAUCACUGGGCUUAAAGCGUGUGUAGGCGGACGCCUAAGUGUCUUGUGAAAUCCCACGGCUCACCCGUGGAACCGCUGUGCAUACUGGGCGUCUUGGGCAGUUCAGGGGCGACUGGAACAAGCGGUGGAGCGGUGAAAUGCGUAGAUAUCGCUUGGAACGCCGAAGGUGAAAACAGGUCGCUGGGGACGAGCCGACGCUGAGACACGAAAGCCAGGGGAGCAAACGGG
Molecule: ribosomal RNA, 253 nt
Filed under: uncultured bacterium
Lineage: Bacteria
Description: partial 16S ribosomal RNA
Rfam family: Bacterial small subunit ribosomal RNA
Source: RNAcentral